Molecule: ribosomal RNA, 726 nt
Filed under: uncultured Phyllachora
Lineage: Eukaryota; Fungi; Ascomycota; Sordariomycetes; Phyllachorales; Phyllachoraceae
Description: SSU rRNA
Rfam family: Eukaryotic small subunit ribosomal RNA
Source: RNAcentral
CUUGUAGUCAUAUGCUUGUCUCAAAGAUUAAGCCAUGCAUGUCUAAGUAUAAGCAAUUAUACAGCGAAACUGCGAAUGGCUCAUUAUAUAAGUUAUCGUUUAUUUGAUAGUACCUUACUACAUGGAUAACCGUGGUAAUUCUAGAGCUAAUACAUGCUAAAAAUCCCAACUUCGGAAGGGAUGUAUUUAUUAGAUUAAAAACCAAUGCCCUCUGGGCUCUCUGGUGAUUCAUGAUAACUCUUCGAAUCGCAUGGCCUUGCGCUGGCGAUGGUUCAUUCAAAUUUCUUCCCUAUCAACUUUCGAUGUUUGGGUAUUGGCCAAACAUGGUUGCAACGGGUAACGGAGGGUUAGGGCUCGACCCCGGAGAAGGAGCCUGAGAAACGGCUACUACAUCCAAGGAAGGCAGCAGGCGCGCAAAUUACCCAAUCCCGACACGGGGAGGUAGUGACAAUAAAUACUGAUACAGGGCUCUUUCGGGUCUUGUAAUUGGAAUGAGUACAAUUUAAAUCCCUUAACGAGGAACAAUUGGAGGGCAAGUCUGGUGCCAGCAGCCGCGGUAAUUCCAGCUCCAAUAGCGUAUAUUAAAGUUGUUGUGGUUAAAAAGCUCGUAGUUGAACCUUGGGCCUGGCUGGCCGGUCCGCCUCACCGCGUGUACUGGUCCGGCCGGGCCUUUCCCUCUGUGGAACCCCAUGCCCUUCACUGGGCGUGGCGGGGAAACAGGACUUU